This is a long non-coding RNA of Cervus elaphus (red deer), 957 nucleotides long. RefSeq lists it as uncharacterized. The transcript has 3 exons. The record is from RefSeq and is a predicted model, not a curated record. NCBI's taxonomy places the organism in Eukaryota, Metazoa, Chordata, Mammalia, Artiodactyla, Cervidae.
UCAGUGUUGGGGGACAGAGGCUGAUUUGGCUUCAGGAUCUUGAUGGAUUUCAGGCAGAGAAGCAACUUGGUUGUGUCUGCUUUAGAAAAACGACUCAGUACAGCAACUAUAUUUCAGUUAAAAAAAAAAUUACGAAAGAAUCUCCCAAACCAAAGAACAAAUAAACAAAAAGCAGAAUGGCUCAGCGAACAGAAAGAGACAGACCUAAAAGGAGGGAAACUAUUCAGGAGAUAUUAUGUCACAGAAGUUAGUGACAAGAUCUUCUGGAGGCUCUUGGGCCCUUUAUCUGCCACCAUCGUCAUCUUUUUUUUUUUCCCCUGUCAAAUGAAAGUAUUUAUCUUCCCCUGGCCAGACUGGAGUGAUUCCCUGGUACACCAAAUUCAUCACUGACUGACUCAUGGGUUUUACUUCCUUUUCUUAUCUCCUAAGUUCUGAAAUUUAUGCUCAUUUCCCAUCAACUUUUCCAAGCAAUGAGUGGGAACACUCAAUUCAGAGACUCAGAUCCUUCUGUUCUGGAAAAAUUUUCAAUAUUACUUCUUAUAUAACGUCCUUCUAGCCUUGUCUUCCUUUCCUGAAAUUCUACAUGUUAGACCUCCUACACUGAUCCUCUAAUUGCUUUAUCUUUUGCCAAAAGAAAAUUUAGAAAGCCACACUUGAUAUGAAAAUUUUGUUGGUCAAAAAACAAACUGAGCUGGGAGAUUUCAAACUUAGAACUGGUAGGGAUCUCAGUGGCAUGACAUUACAAGAUGGCUUCUAAAGCCAGAAUGAAGAUGCUGGUUGAUCUUCAUGAUGAUUGGUUAUUGCAGUGUGGACAGCAUGGGAUUGGUUAAAAAUGAUUGUUUUACAUCAUUUUAGGAGGAUGGCAAAUUUUGAUUAUGAUUAUUAGAAGUAUUUAUAAGAAUUAACUUGUUUCACUUACAUAAAUGAAAUAAACUAGAUUAAGUUUUCCUUAUGUGG